Molecule: ribosomal RNA, 389 nt
Filed under: uncultured Nitrospina sp.
Lineage: Bacteria; Pseudomonadati; Nitrospinota; Nitrospinia; Nitrospinales; Nitrospinaceae
Description: bacterial SSU rRNA
Rfam family: Bacterial small subunit ribosomal RNA
Source: RNAcentral
AACGAACGCUGGCGGUGUGCUUAACACAUGCAAGUCGAACGAGAACGUUUCCUUCGGGGAACUAGUAAAGUGGCGCAAGGGUGAGUAACACGUGAAUAAUCUGCCCUCGAGAUCGGGAUAACUUGGCGAAAGCUAAGCUAAUACCGGAUAAGACCACAUUUCAUAAGGAAUGCGGAAAAAGGAGUCUCAACCUUCACUCGAGGAUGAGUUCGCGGACCAUUAGCUUGUUGGUGAGAUAAAAGCUCACCAAGGCUACGAUGGAUAGCCGGCCUGAGAGGGUGAUCGGCCACACUGGAACUGAGACACGGUCCAGACUCCUACGGGAGGCAGCAGUGGGGAAUAUUGCACAAUGGGCGCAAGCCUGAUGCAGCAAUGCCGCGUGUGUGAAG